This 465-nucleotide ribosomal RNA is filed under the name uncultured bacterium. Its description in RNAcentral is "bacterial SSU rRNA". It matches the Rfam family "Bacterial small subunit ribosomal RNA", at positions 331 to 793 of the family's 1533-position model. The record is from RNAcentral.
CCAGACUCCUACGGGAGGCAGCAGUGAGGAAUAUUGGUCAAUGGGCGGGAGCCUGAACCAGCCAAGUCGCGUGAGGGAAGACGGUCCUAUGGAUUGUAAACCUCUUUAGGCGGGGAGCAAUGCCGGGCACGCGUGCCCGGAGGGAGAGUACCCGCAGAAUAAGCAUCGGCUAACUCCGUGCCAGCAGCCGCGGUAAUACGGAGGAUGCGAGCGUUAUCCGGAUUUAUUGGGUUUAAAGGGUGCGUAGGCGGAUUUUUAAGUCAGCGGUAAAAUGUCCGGGCUCAACCCGGGCCGGCCGUUGAAACUGGGGAUCUUGAGUGGGCGAGAAGUAUGCGGAAUGCGUGGUGUAGCGGUGAAAUGCAUAGAUAUUCGGAGGAACACCGGUGGCGAAGGCGGCCAACUGGGCUUUAACUGACGCUGAGGCUCGAAAGUGUGGGGAGCAAACAGGAUUAGAUACCCCGGUAG